This 113-nucleotide small nuclear RNA is filed under the name Canis lupus familiaris (dog). Its description in RNAcentral is "U4 spliceosomal RNA (multiple genes)". It matches the Rfam family "U4 spliceosomal RNA". From Rfam's summary of the family: U4 small nuclear RNA (U4 snRNA) is a component of the major U2-dependent spliceosome. The structure of U4 snRNA from yeast and human has been reported. U4 snRNA presents a k-turn RNA motif in the 5p-SL related to recognition of Snu13 protein. RNAcentral also lists the same sequence under 1 other name. The record is from Rfam by way of RNAcentral. Lineage: Eukaryota; Metazoa; Chordata; Mammalia; Carnivora; Canidae.
AGCUUUGCGCAGUGGCAGUAUCGUAGCCAAUGAGGUUUAUCCGAGGCGCGAUUAUUGCUAAUUGAAAACUUUUCCCAAUACCCCGCCGUGACGACUUGAAAGAAGUGUUCUUC